RNAcentral lists this transfer-messenger RNA (342 nucleotides) under Haploplasma axanthum. RNAcentral's name for it is "Standard tmRNA". It matches the Rfam family "transfer-messenger RNA". Rfam says of the family: Bacterial tmRNA, also known as 10Sa RNA or SsrA, is named for its dual tRNA and mRNA-like properties. Its role is to liberate the mRNA from a stalled ribosome. The record is from Rfam by way of RNAcentral. Lineage: Bacteria; Bacillati; Mycoplasmatota; Mollicutes; Acholeplasmatales; Acholeplasmataceae.
GGGGAUGUUAAUGGAUUCGUCAGGGCAUCGUAUGAUGUAUAAGCAUGUCUUGGUUGCUCAAGUAAAAAAGCCGAGGUUAAUUAAUAACCGGAAACCAAAAUUUACAAUUAGCUGCCUAAGAUAAGGUUCAGCUGGCAAAAAUAAGCUCACUUACGGUUUAUUGGCGCCCAAAGAAGUAAGUUAUAUCUAAUAAACUCCUUUAUAUUAGACGAAACUAAAAAGGAUAGUAUUAUUAACUUUUGUUUAUUUAGUUAAUGAUAUGAAAUUAUAAAUGAACUAAACAUGUAGAAAGUAUAUUUGAAAGUGUCUUGCACAGGGGUUCGACUCCCCUCAUCUCCACCA